GACGAACGCUGGCGGCGUGCCUAAUACAUGCAAGUAGAGCGCACAGUUUAUACCGUAGCUUGCUACACCAUAGACUGUGAGUUGCGAACGGGUGAGUAACGCGUAGGUAACCUGCCUGGUAGCGGGGGAUAACUAUUGGAAACGAUAGCUAAUACCGCAUAAUAUUGAUUAUUGCAUGAUAAUUGAUUGAAAAAUGCUAUUGCAUCACUACCAGAUGGACCUGCGUUGUAUUAGCUAGUAGGUGAGGUAACGGCUCACCUAGGCGACGAUACAUAGCCGACCUGAGAGGGUGAUCGGCCACACUGGGACUGAGACACGGCCCAGACUCCUACGGGAGGCAGCAGUAGGGAAUCUUCCGCAAUGGACGAAAGUCUGGCCGAGCAACGCCGCGGGAGUGAAGAAGGUUUUCGGAUCGUAAAGCUCUGUUGUAAGAGAAGAACGGGUGUGAGAGUGGAAAGUUCACACUGUGACGGUAUCUUACCAGAAAGGGACGGCUAACUACGUG
This 505-nucleotide ribosomal RNA is filed under the name uncultured bacterium. Its description in RNAcentral is "partial 16S ribosomal RNA". It matches the Rfam family "Bacterial small subunit ribosomal RNA", at positions 28 to 507 of the family's 1533-position model. The record is from RNAcentral.